RNAcentral lists this ribosomal RNA (467 nucleotides) under Ovis aries (sheep). Its description in RNAcentral is "partial 12S ribosomal RNA". Lineage: Eukaryota; Metazoa; Chordata; Mammalia; Artiodactyla; Bovidae. The record is from RNAcentral.
UAUAGGUUUGGUCCCAGCCUUCCUGUUAACUUUCAAUAGACUUAUACAUGCAAGCAUCCACGCCCCGGUGAGUAACGCCCUUCGAAUCACACAGGACUAAAAGGAGCAGGUAUCAAGCACACACUCUUGUAGCUCACAACGCCUUGCUUAACCACACCCCCACGGGAGACAGCAGUAACAAAAAUUAAGCCAUAAACGAAAGUUUGACUAAGCCAUAUUGACUAGGGUUGGUAAAUCUCGUGCCAGCCACCGCUUUCAUUCGAUUGACCCAAGCUAACAGGAGUACGGCGUAAAGCGUGUUAAAGCAUCAUACUAAAUAGAGUUAAAUUUUAAUUAAACUGUAAAAAGCCAUAAUUAUAACAAAAAUAAAUGACGAAAGUAACCCUACAAUAGCUGAUACACCAUAGCUAAGACCCAAACUGGGAUUAGAUACCCCACUAUGCUUAGCCCUAAACACAAAUAAUUAU